RNAcentral lists this ribosomal RNA (215 nucleotides) under Crocinitomicaceae bacterium. RNAcentral describes it as "partial 23S ribosomal RNA". It matches the Rfam family "Bacterial large subunit ribosomal RNA", at positions 2697 to 2925 of the family's 2925-position model. The record is from RNAcentral. Lineage: Bacteria; Pseudomonadati; Bacteroidota; Flavobacteriia; Flavobacteriales; Crocinitomicaceae.
GUGGACGAACCUCUGGUGUACCUGUUGUGGCGCCAGCUGCAUCGCAGGGUAGCUAUGUUCGGAUGAGAUAAGCGCUGAAAGCAUCUAAGCACGAAACUCACCUCAAGAUGAGAUUUCUUUUAAGGGCCGUGGAAGACUACCACGUUGAUAGGCUACAGGUGUAAAGACAGUAAUGUCAAAGCCGAGUAGUACUAAUUACCCGUAGACUUAUAGUC